AGAUUGAACGCUGGCGGCAGGCCUAACACAUGCAAGUCGAGCGGUAGAGAGGUGCUUGCACCUCUUGAGAGCGGCGGACGGGUGAGUAAUGCCUAGGAAUCUGCCUAGUGGUGGGGGAUAACGUUCGGAAACGGACGCUAAUACCGCAUACGUCCUACGGGAGAAAGCGGGGGACCUUCGGGCCUCGCGCCAUUAGAUGAGCCUAGGUCGGAUUAGCUAGUUGGUGAGGUAAUGGCUCACCAAGGCGACGAUCCGUAACUGGUCCGAGAGGAUGAAUCAGUCACACUGGAACUGAGACACGGUCCAGACUCCUACGGGAGGCAGCAGUGGGGAAUAUUGGACAAUGGG
This 348-nucleotide ribosomal RNA is filed under the name uncultured soil bacterium. Its description in RNAcentral is "bacterial SSU rRNA". It matches the Rfam family "Bacterial small subunit ribosomal RNA", at positions 26 to 375 of the family's 1533-position model. The record is from RNAcentral.